AGAAGUAAACUUAGGGGAUACACAAAAAUCGAUUCCGAGGGAUAUCUGAUAUCUGGUAUCCCAUAUCCCAUAUCCCAUAUCCCAUGUGUGUGGGGUUUUGGGCGUUGGGUUUGGUACCGGGUACUGCAGGAACCUCUUCUGCUGCUUCUCCGGCGGCUUCCUCCUCUGUUUCAUGUGCUCCCUCCGCUUUGGUCGCGUCUUCAAUUGCUGUUGUUGUUGUCAGGCGUGUGCGGUGCGCGUUGAAUCCGCUAUAACAGUGUUAGUACGUUAGUAGGUAUACAAACAGGUAAAACAGGUAUUCUCCGCCGCUCUGCCCAUGCUCAUCAUCAUCGCGAUCAUGACCACCGUAAUGAUGAUGUUCUUUUGCCGCUGCUGCUGCCGCUGCUGCUGCUGCUGCCUGUGCUCCUCCGUCUCCUUCUUGCUCUACCACCACAAUGGGCUGGCUGGCAAGCUGCUUCUUACCUCACUUGAAGCAUUAUUUCAGCGAGUCGCCGUCGAUGACGACAAUUGAGCAAAUAAAGAUAAAACUACAACAAAAACACUAUAGGAGCCCAGCGAAAAACGAAUUGCUCCGAACGGUAGUUCAGCUAUAUUCAGUAUGUAAGUAUCUUAUAGUUUCAUCCUAUAGUUUGUUGAUCGGAUCACUCCAGUAAAAUGUUUAAAAUAAAUUUGUAAUUGAUUUUUUCAAUAUUUCCGUUUAUAAAUAAAAUGCUGCAUGGAAAAUUAAAUACUAAAAAAGAAGAGUGAGUGAGAUCGGGCGAUGCAAGCGCAUUGAGGCCCAAAGGAACACAUUCUUAAACACAGCAAUUACCCAGCGAAAUGGGCUUUGGUGGGCCAAGAGGCGGCUGGCGGGCCGAAGAUGCAGACAGUAAGAACGAGAAAAUUCUACUGGCUCUGUGGGCCCAGCGAACCUCCACCAACCCACCCACCCCCUGAAGAAACCCCACCCAACCAACUAGCCAAGAACCAAAGCCAAAGUCAAGGCAUUAACAGCCCAGUGAACACAACACUCACACACUUGCCAUGUGCAAUUCUACGCGCACUUCGGAGUAUAUAUAUAUCCGUACAUACAUAUGGAUCUGGGGGGUAGUGUGGGUUUGGGUCUAUACCUUCGGUGGCCUAGGUCUGGGCCAACAACAAUAACCAGCUCGGCUCUCAUUGGGGUUUGCAAUCAAGCGCUUGAGAUUCGCUUUUGGUUACAGAUCUUGAUCCACUAUCUGCUCUAUCUAAAACCCUGAUUGAAUAAAAUAUGAAAAUAAAUGCAUUUGGAGCAGCGGAGUGUACAAAAAACAAAGCAAAAGUAAAAGAAGUAGAAAUCUUCGUGCAUUUGAGGAUGAUAACAAAUGUUUCGAGGGACCAAAAUCAGUGUUUAACUCGGUUCUGGGCCAGAACACUUGCAAUUUGGCCAGCGAGCGGCUUUUUGAGUGAGAGUGAAGUUGGCGCAGGAACAAUGCAGCAGCAGCAAAGACGACAACAACCACACAGGGAGGUGUUCUUCAGAAGGCUCCACCGAUCGAGAGGAAAAGAACCAUAGGCAGACCCCUGAUAACGCCAACAUCACGACAUUAACAUUGCCGCUGCCUCAACGGCAAAGUCACAGUCAAAGCCAAAGUUGCCAACAGGUUUUCAGAGCCUGCCUCUUCGGGCCGAGAUUCUUCAAUGCGCUCUUCGUAGAUUCUCUCGCGAUACACAUCGAUACACAGGCGAAAAAUCUCGAAGAAUAUUUGUUGA
This is a long non-coding RNA of Drosophila biarmipes, 1731 nucleotides long. RefSeq lists it as uncharacterized. The transcript has 3 exons. Lineage: Eukaryota; Metazoa; Arthropoda; Insecta; Diptera; Drosophilidae. The record is from RefSeq and is a predicted model, not a curated record.